UGAUUACAAAAGAAGAAAUAGCAGCCU
This 27-nucleotide non-coding RNA is filed under the name Mus musculus (house mouse). Lineage: Eukaryota; Metazoa; Chordata; Mammalia; Rodentia; Muridae. The record is from RNAcentral.